GCCCGUGUAGUCCAACGGCAGAGACAGGAGACUUAAAAUCUCUACAGUGUCGGUUCGAAUCCGACCACGGGUA
Molecule: transfer RNA, 73 nt
Filed under: Synechococcus phage S-CREM1
Lineage: Duplodnaviria; Heunggongvirae; Uroviricota; Caudoviricetes; Pantevenvirales; Kyanoviridae
Rfam family: tRNA
About the family: Transfer RNA (tRNA) molecules are approximately 80 nucleotides in length.
Source: Rfam by way of RNAcentral